UUUAAAGUGUAAUGUAAGUCGCUUUGGAUAAAAGCGUCUGCUGAAUGACCUGUA
Regulatory RNA element from Gasterosteus aculeatus (three-spined stickleback), 54 nucleotides. It matches the Rfam family "UnaL2 LINE 3' element". From Rfam's summary of the family: The eel long interspersed element (LINE) UnaL2 and its partner short interspersed element (SINE) share a conserved 3' tail containing a stem-loop that is critical for their retrotransposition. Presumably, the first step of retrotransposition is the recognition of their 3' tails by UnaL2-encoded reverse transcriptase. The solution structure of a 17-nucleotide RNA derived from the 3' tail of UnaL2 was determined by NMR. NCBI's taxonomy places the organism in Eukaryota, Metazoa, Chordata, Actinopteri, Perciformes, Gasterosteidae. The record is from Rfam.